This 71-nucleotide transfer RNA is filed under the name Bos taurus (domestic cattle). It matches the Rfam family "tRNA". From Rfam's summary of the family: Transfer RNA (tRNA) molecules are approximately 80 nucleotides in length. Their secondary structure includes four short double-helical elements and three loops (D, anti-codon, and T loops). Lineage: Eukaryota; Metazoa; Chordata; Mammalia; Artiodactyla; Bovidae. The record is from Rfam by way of RNAcentral. RNAcentral also lists the same sequence under 3 other names.
UCCCUCAUAGCUAAAUUGGUAAAGAAUCUGCCUGCAGUGCAGCAGACCCAGGUUCGACCCUGGGUUGGGAA